RNAcentral lists this ribosomal RNA (440 nucleotides) under uncultured bacterium. Its description in RNAcentral is "partial 16S ribosomal RNA". It matches the Rfam family "Bacterial small subunit ribosomal RNA", at positions 338 to 795 of the family's 1533-position model. The record is from RNAcentral.
CCUACGGGAGGCAGCAGUGGGGAAUAUUGCACAAUGGGGGAAACCCUGAUGCAGCAACGCCGCGUGAGGGAUGAAGUAUUUCGGUAUGUAAAGCUCCAUCAGCAGGGAAGAAGAUGACGGUACCUGAGUAAGAAGCCCCGGCUAAUUACGUGCCAGCAGCCGUGGCAAUACGUAGGGGGCAAGCGUUAUCCGGAUUUACUGGGCGUAAAGGGAGCGUAGACGGUGAGACAAGUCUGAAGUGAAAGCCUGGGGCUCAACCCCAGGACUGCAUUGGAUACUGCCUGACUGGAGUACUGGUGAGGCAAGCGGAAUUCCUAGUGUAGCGGUGAAAUGCGUAGAUAUUAGGAAGAACACCAAUGGCGAAGGCAGCUUACUGGACAGUAACUGACGUUGAGGCUCGAAAGCGUGGGGAGCAAACAGGAUUAGAUACCCGAGUAGUC